CACGGAGUUAGCCGAUCCUUAUUCUUACGGUACCGUCAAGCUGCUUCACGAAGCAGUGUUUCUUCCCGUAUAAAAGCAGUUUACAAUCCAUAGGACCGUCAUCCUGCACGCGGCAUGGCUGGUUCAGGCUUGCGCCCAUUGACCAAUAUUCCUCACUGCUGCCUCCCGUAGGAGUCUGGUCCGUGUCUCAGUACCAGUGUGGGGGAUCUCCCUCUCAGGACCCCUACCCAUCGUUGCCAUGGUAAGCCGUUACCUUACCAUCUAGCUAAUGGGACGCAUGCCCAUCUUUCACCGUUGGAACUUUAAUAUAAUGAUGAUGCCAUCUCUAUAUACUAUAAGGUAUUAAUCCAAAUUUCUCUGGGCUAUCCCUUUGUGAAAGGUAGGUUGCAUACGCGUUACGCACCCGUGCGCCGGUCUCAAGUUAGCAAGCUAACUCUACCCCUCGACUUGCAUGUGUUAAGCCUGCCGCUAGCGUUCAUCCUGAGCCAGAUA
RNAcentral lists this ribosomal RNA (492 nucleotides) under uncultured Flavobacterium sp. RNAcentral describes it as "partial 16S ribosomal RNA". The record is from RNAcentral. Lineage: Bacteria; Pseudomonadati; Bacteroidota; Flavobacteriia; Flavobacteriales; Flavobacteriaceae.